This 521-nucleotide ribosomal RNA is filed under the name uncultured bacterium. RNAcentral's name for it is "bacterial SSU rRNA". It matches the Rfam family "Bacterial small subunit ribosomal RNA", at positions 23 to 518 of the family's 1533-position model. The record is from RNAcentral.
CUUAGGACGAACGCUGGCGGCGUGCCUAAUACAUGCAAGUCGAACGGUCUUUCUAUGGAAGCUUGCUUCCACUGAGAAGAUAGUGGCGAACGGGUGAGUAACACGUGGGUAACCUGCCCAUAAGAGGGGGAUAACAUCCGGAAACGGGUGCUAAUACCGCAUAGUUUUCUUGAUCGCAUGAUCGGGAAAGGAAAGACGGCCUUUGUGCUGUCGCUUAUGGAUGGACCCGCGGCGUAUUAGUUAGUUGGUGAGGUAACGGCUCACCAAGACGAUGAUACGUAGCCGACCUGAGAGGGUGAUCGGCCACAUUGGGACUGAGACACGGCCCAACUCCUACGGGAGGCAGCAGUAGGGAAUCUUCCGCAAUGGACGAAAGUCUGACGGAGCAACGCCGCGUGAGUGAAGAAAGGUUUUCGGAUCGUAAAACUCUGUUGUCAGAGAAGAACAAGUUGGAGAGUAACUGCUCCAGCCUUGACGGUAUCUGACCAGAAAGCCACGGCUAACUACGUGCCAGCCGCCGC